This 253-nucleotide ribosomal RNA is filed under the name uncultured bacterium. Its description in RNAcentral is "partial 16S ribosomal RNA". It matches the Rfam family "Bacterial small subunit ribosomal RNA", at positions 524 to 776 of the family's 1533-position model. The record is from RNAcentral.
UACGGAGGGAGCUAGCGUUGUUCGGAAAUACUGGGCGUAAAGCGCACGUAGGCGGCGCAGCAAGUCAGGGGUGAAAUCCCGGGGCUCAACCCCGGAACUGCCCUUGAAACUGCAGUGCUAGAAUUCUGGAGAGGCGAGUGGAAUUCCGAGUGUAGAGGUGAAAUUCGUAGAUAUUCGGAAGAACACCAGUGGCGAAGGCGACUCGCUGGACAGACAUUGACGCUGAGGUGCGAAAGCGUGGGGAGCAAGCAGG